CGCAAGCGGUGGAUGAUGUGGUUUAAUUCGAUGCAACGCGAAAAACUUACCCACCUUUGACAUGGCAGGAAUCCUGAAGAGAUUUGGGAGUGCUCGAAAGAGAACCUGCACACAGGUGCUGCAUGGCUGUCGUCAGCUCGUGUCGUGAGAUGUUGGGUUAAGUCCCGCAACGAGCGCAACCCUUAUCAUUAGUUGCUACGCAAGGGCACUCUAAUGAGACUGCCGGUGACAAACCGGAGGAAGGUGGGGAUGACGUCAAGUCCUCAUGGCCCUUAUGGGUAGGGCUUCACACGUCAUACAAUGGUCGGUACAGAGGGUUGCCAAGCCGCGAGGUGGAGCCAAUCCCAGAAAGCCGAUCGUAGUCCGGAUUGUUCUCUGCAACUCGAGAGCAUGAAGUCGGAAUCGCUAGUAAUCGCGGAUCAGCAUGUCGCGGUGAAUACGUUCCCGGGCCUU
RNAcentral lists this ribosomal RNA (453 nucleotides) under uncultured Thiobacillus sp. RNAcentral describes it as "bacterial SSU rRNA". It matches the Rfam family "Bacterial small subunit ribosomal RNA", at positions 924 to 1382 of the family's 1533-position model. Lineage: Bacteria; Pseudomonadati; Pseudomonadota; Betaproteobacteria; Nitrosomonadales; Thiobacillaceae. The record is from RNAcentral.